This 2305-nucleotide long non-coding RNA is filed under the name Homo sapiens (human). Its description in RNAcentral is "HSALNT0398467". The record is from RNAcentral. Lineage: Eukaryota; Metazoa; Chordata; Mammalia; Primates; Hominidae.
AUUCUGGGACCUUGCUGGGGGCAGACAGCCCUCCCUGCCCAGCAAUGGGCCUUUGGGAUGUGGCACAAGCUCCCGGGAAACCAGGAGUGACAAGGGCGCCUGUCCCUGAGGAGUGGAGAGCGCGGAGUUGGUGCUGAGUCAGCCCUGAUGUGGCAGAGGAGGAGCAGGCCCCCGCAGAACCAGGGCUCUUCAGUGUCUCCAGGUCCUUGGUGAAGUGGAACUGGACCAGGCGCGAGUUCCGGAACAGCGGCACUAGGGUGGUCUGCGGGGAAGCGAGGGGACCCCCAGCUCUGGCUUCUCCCACCACGGCCUCCCGGCUCCCAGCCCGCUGAGUCCCCCGGGCCCAGGACCAAACUGAGACUCCCCUGUCCUCCCUACCUCAGGAAACGUCAUCUCCACCGCUCAACCAGCCCAACCCUGGAGUGCUGUGGAAGCCGCUCUCAGAUCCCUUGGCAGCCCCCCAGGUGCAGGUCGUGGCUGCCCCUGCCCCGCUCAGUCCCUGCACAGCCACCAGCUGGCUGCCUGGGACCCCUUGAAGCCAAGCCUGAGGAGCUACCCACCACACCUGCUUCAGCACCCUCAGCUCCGCUCCCUCACAGCCAGCUCAGGCCACCUGGGGAGGCGCUCUUGCCCCCAGCCCCGCCCUCUGGAAGAGCUACUGCGUGCAGGCUCCAGCACCCGGCCCCAGCCCCUCACCAGCAGCUGCUGCGGGAUGAGCUGCAUGUACAGCUUCCUUGGCCACUGCUCGGUCCUCCUGUGGGGCACAAAGGGACGAGGGUCAGGAAGCCCCAGCUCCCCUGGAUGCUGCCUCCACCCCCCAGCCCAGCACUCACAGGAUCUCCCCCUGGUUCACGUAGACGUGGGAUGGCAGCCACCUCUUGGACCGACUGUUGGGCUCAGGCCUGGGCUUUUGGGGGAGAGGCAAAGAGGAGCCCUCAGGGCUGGAGACCCCCAAUGCCAGUGUCCCCUCCCAGCCACAGUCCGUGAGGAUCUGGGGGUCCCAAGUCCCUGGGCUGCCGAGUGCUCACCUCCUGCCACUCCAUGACACCACUCCAUGCCAGAAACUUGUUGUUGACGAUCUGGACUGGGCCUGAGUUGACACCACCAGGUCCCACUGCCUGUUGGAAGGGAACGGGGUGGGAAGAGGGGCCCAGGCUCCUGGGAAACCUGUCUGUCUGUCCUGGGGCCUGCCAUCCCUCCCUCCGAGCCUUGGCCUGUUAGCCCCAGCUGGGUCCAUUCUCUAGUCCCAGGGGAACAGGCCCUGCCCCUCAUCUGCUCACAGCCCCCCAUGGCUCCCCAGUGGCCUGAGACAGGUCCCGGCCCUCACCUGGUGCACAGGACCUGCAGAGUCUGCCUCAACUGGCAAGGCAUGACCAGGACACGUGGUUACCAGGCAGGGCCUUCCAGCCGCAGGACGAUCCCAACCCCUGCCCAGCUCCCCGCUCCGCUGGCUUCCCUGCCGCCGCGCCAAGACCCACCCUCCAGCCCUGCAGAGCCGCCCAGUGGCCGCUUUUCCAUGGAGCCCUGGUGGGAACCCGCCCGGCAUCCUCCGGGCUCCCCUGCAGCUCCUUGCUCCAGCCAUCGCAUCACACUCCGCCCACACCAAGUCUGGCUGCCCAACCAGGGCAGUGGGGUCUAAUCCCCCUCUGUCCCCAGAGGGGCUGUGCUUGGCUGGCACACCUGCUUGCGGGUGGUGAUGACCUGCCGGAUGGCACUGACGAAGCCGCUCUGGUCGUAGGGGAUGAGGCCCAUGAAGAUCUUCUUCUUGGACGAGUACAGGAGCAUGAGCACGCGCACCUCACAGGGGGAGAUGUGGGGGAACAGCAUGCAGCCCGCCUGCGGGGGCCGCGGGUCAGGACCCUGUGGUCACUGCCCGGGGCCACUGUGCCCCCACCACCCUGGACCGCCCCACCUGUAGGGGAUGAAGGGAGAUCAUCGGUGGACAGAGGCCCCCACAGUCAAGGCCAUGGCCAUAGGUGAGGGGCCUCUGAGAGCCCGUGCAGCGCCCAUCGGCAUCCCCCGACCCUGCCAUGGCUGAGGUCAGAGUGGCACCCGGCACCCAGGCUGCGGUGAGAAUGCCAAGAAGGCACUACCUCCCACCCACAUCACCCCCUGCCGCCAGCCCUCCUGACUGCCUGAUGGGGUGACUUGGCCUGGGGGUUAAGAGCACAGGCAGCGCCCCACCGUUCUGCUGCCUCCUAGCUGUGUGACCUAACACCAGCCACCUCCUGCUUCUGGGCCUCCAUCAUCUGUAAAACCGGGUAAUAGUGCACACAGUUGGUGCCACAUAAAGGCUCAACAGAUA